CUGCUCAGAUCUUCUGCUUCAGGAAGCAUAGCAGUGAAUCCAGCUACUGCUCCUUGAGGCAUGUCACCAUAUCUGUGCCAAGGCUGUGCCUCUCAAAGUUUGCCCCUAGUCAAUGACCAAGCACAAUGGGUGUACUGAUGCAGACCCAUUCCUACAAGAUGUAGGAUUCUACCAGAAUCCAAUCUACAUUGAGAUCUGAAGUCUUUCCUCCACUACUCCAGCUGUCAUAGGCGUUCGCACCAAUUAAUUUCUAAAUUUGAAGAACCCCUUUCUCAGACACAUCAAAAUCGAACUGUUGAAAACUUAAAGAAAAAAGUCUGAAAAGAGCUAGAGGAAAAAAAUGACACAUUACUUCUAGAAGAACAAUUAUCUGAAUGACAGGGUAUUUCUCAUCUAAAGCCAUGGAGGCAAGAAGGAAGUGGGCAAUAUUUUAAAGUGCUGAGAGAAAAGAGCUGUCAACCCAGAAAUCUAUAGUCAGUGAAAAUAUCCUUCAGGAAUGAAGGUGAAAUGAAGAUACUCUCAGAUGAAAGGAAACUAAGUAAAUUUGCUUAUUGCUUAAAAAUAAUCCUGAAGAAUGUUCUUCAAAUGGAAGGAAAACGACCCUAGAGCGAAACUUGGAACACCAGGGAUAAAGAACAACAAAAAAUAGU
Non-coding RNA from Odocoileus virginianus texanus, 650 nucleotides. The record is from RefSeq and is a predicted model, not a curated record. NCBI's taxonomy places the organism in Eukaryota, Metazoa, Chordata, Mammalia, Artiodactyla, Cervidae.